RNAcentral lists this ribosomal RNA (450 nucleotides) under uncultured bacterium. RNAcentral's name for it is "bacterial SSU rRNA". It matches the Rfam family "Bacterial small subunit ribosomal RNA", at positions 28 to 473 of the family's 1533-position model. The record is from RNAcentral.
GAUGAACGCUAGCGGCAGGCUUAAUACAUGCAAAUCGAACGGGAUUCGGAGUAGCAAUACUUUGAUGAGAGUGGCGCACGGGUGCGUAACGCGUAUGCAACCUACCUUUAACAGGGGAAUAGCCCCGAGAAAUCGGGAUUAAUACUCCGUAACAUUGCGGUGUGGCAUCACACUGCAAUUAAAGACUUAUCGGUUAAAGAUGGGCAUGCGUGACAUUAGCUUGUUGGUGAGGUAACGGCUCACCAAGGCAACGAUGUCUAGGGGUCCUGAGAGGGUUAUCCCCCACACUGGUACUGAGACACGGACCAGACUCCUACGGGAGGCAGCAGUAAGGAAUAUUGGUCAAUGGGCGCAAGCCUGAACCAGCCAUGCCGCGUGCAGGAAGACGGCCCUAUGGGUUGUAAACUGCUUUUAUCAGGGAAUAAACCCCCGCUCGUGAGCGGGGCUGAA